This 943-nucleotide long non-coding RNA is filed under the name Marmota monax (woodchuck). Lineage: Eukaryota; Metazoa; Chordata; Mammalia; Rodentia; Sciuridae. The record is from RNAcentral.
UGGAACCCUCAAUCUAGGCAGCGCGGCUCUUCACACAACUGGUCGCCUCACCGACUGGGCAGUGGCUAAUUUAUCUGAAGAAACCCUCUCCUAUUUUCGUGCUGUACUCCUGUGCAUCCUGGGUGCUAGCCAAUCAGUAGCCUACUUGCCCAUCCAACAUUCCUGUUCUCCUUUUUUCAUCUCUACCUAGCAACGCAUUAAUAUUCCACCCUUCCCCAUCCAUUCAUUUAGUUAGGGUACAUUUACGGAGUGCCUCCACCGAGCACUUGUAUCACCAGUUUACUAGUCUUUGAACCACAAAGGCCUGAGUUGAGGGAAGAGGCCCAGGGACAGGAUGGGAGGAUACGUUGCUGUGAGGUGCUAGGGGCUCUAUUGUGAGGAGAGACUAUCUUACCUGGUUGCAGACCAAAUGAUGACGCCAUUGGGCCUCAAAGUUGAGUGAAAAAUCACUGGGAUAUGUGUGUACCUUUAAAGUAAAACAGAGCACUUAUUGGCAUGAAUCUCCAGAUUUGGAGUGAGGCUUUUGAGGUUGCAGAAUAUUUUUCCCAUUCACAGGACAAACUAAGUUGGCUUGAAGAACAUGAUUUCAUGGACACUUGCCUAUACAAGAUGCACUCACCCCUGGCAUUAAUGUAUUAUUACUGUGUGUUAUGACACAUGGUUGAAAGGAAAGGGUUUAUGGUUGGGGCUGCAGGAGAGCCUCAAAAUGGAGCAGGAGACCACUUAUAGGACAGCACUUGAAUAAGCCCACUGAGUCUCAGAAUGAAUCAGACAUCAAAAUGACAUAGCACAUUACUAUCUUGUGUGUAUAUGUAUGAUUACACAACCAAUGUAAGUCUACAUCCUGUAUAACCAGAAGAAUAAGAAGUUAUACUCCAUAUAUGUAUAAUAUUUCAAAAUAUAUUCUACUAUGAUGUAUAGCUAAUAAGUACAAAUAAAAAAC